CUCUCCCCGCCUUCAUCUUGCGUUCUUCAAACAAGGCAUUGCGUCACAUUCCCCGCACCACAUUCUUCAAACAAUUGUGCCUCCACACGUGCACUUUAGCUACACAACCUCUUCUCUCUUGUUAAUAUUGGCGUCGCUCUUCCUGUUCCCUAUCGCUCACAGACCCACUUUUGUUCUUUGCAGUUUGAAAAUCCCCAUUUCUGAUUGGUUUUUUCCAAUUCGAAAACCCUAGUUUGAUUUCUUCCAACUCUAAUGGAGCUUCACUUCUCGAAGUUGAUGGCGCCUUUGAAUUCCCUACAUAUCCGACGAGAAUGCCGACGAAGAUCCCGAACUUAGAGUCACCGUCGAUGACGAAGGACCGGAAGGGAAGAGGAUGAAAGGACGUCAUGCUUUCCAAGGGGAAACCCUUGAUCUUGGAGAAGGUUAGGGUUUGGGUGCAAAGCAUGGCCAGAGGCAGUCCUAUUAAGGACGAAUUGGAGAACAAGAAGUCGACGCCGUCUCCCUUGCCAUCACCGGCGCGAUCGACACUGUUUCCGUCACUGUCCACGUCCACUAUAACUGCGCCGAAGAACGAAACUUCGACGUCCACGAAGAAGAAGGAGAGGAAAGGAGUGAAGAGUAUUAGUAUGACUGAGGUUCAAUUUUAGGACGAAGGACUUGUGUGAGAUAUUGAUGGAUGAGAAUAGAUGGAAGCGUUUCACACAGAGUAAUGUGAGGAUUAGGAUAAAGGUUGGUGAUGAAAACAAAUUUGUCUGAUGUAUCUUAGCCAAGGAAUGUUACUGAAGAUUGCCAGUCUGAUUUCUUUCCAAUGCUUCGUUAUGUGACAAGCUGCAAAAGAAGAGUGUCGGGGUUUUCUCAUCAGCUUCUGUCGGGUGAUUACUAUUUGGAUUCUCUGGAUGCUCAUAGCAAUCCUAAUUUAAUUGAGGUAAAGAGUGAAUUUCUCAGACUAAUUGGAAGUUUGGUAAGCUUAAGUUGUUGGUCAUCGUUUUCACAAAGUUCUUCCGGUUGUUUUUAUUUAUUAUUUUAAUUAGGGGGUUUAUUCAUGAACCACAUAGAAAAUAGGUAGAUUAUGUUAGGAUCCAAUUGCAAGACAAGACAUGAGACAAAACAGGGAAGGUGGCUUGAGGGACAUAUGUGCUUGGUGUAAAGCUAAUGGUGAUCUGUAUGUGGUGGCAGUCUGUCAUGAAGCUUUGGUUCACCCAAUUACUAGAGCUUGGUCAAACUCCUCGAGGUGCACCUAAUCCUGACUUAGCCAAAUGAAAUGGUAGCUGAAGGUGGCCGAAGAUAAAGAGCUCUUGAUACCAACUUGAAUUUGAAUGUGAAGAAAAAAAUCAGGGAGUUACUUGCUUAACUAAUGCACUUUUUAUAUAUAUGAAAGAAAAGGAAAGAGUACAUUCUAGGGAAAAGUUAUAUCCUAUAGUACUCAACCCUAGAUUAGGUAUAUACACCGAAAAGCAAUAUAAUAAUAAUCAUAAUUUUAACAAUUAGCUUUAUGAAGGUCAUGUUUUUGUAUCUUUCCAAUUCAAAGUGUAUGAUUUCUUAUUUACAGAGGAACUACGUUUAGCCUGUGUCUGGUAAACUUGUUUACAAUGGUUUGCUUUAUGAUGGAAAUUUGUUUGUAGUAAUCCAUUUUGUCCUUUGAGGAGCCUCCAUCCUGCACCGAGAAUCAUAUAUAGUUUGGAUUGGCUGUCAAAGCCAAGUUGUAUCAUUAUGUCCUUUGAAGAUGGAACAAUGAGAACCAUUAGCUUGGCGAAGGCUGGAAAUGACCUUCAUUGUCACUAGAGAAGUAUACAGUGGGAAAAAACAACCUGGGUUGCACGGUUCUUCAUAUGCAUCUUUUGCCAUUUGGAGUGUUCAAGUGUCACGUAUAACAGGCGUGUUUUUCGGUAUGCAUUGACAAUAUGAUUAUGUAAUCUUAUUGCUAGAAAUAUUUUACUUUUGGCAUUAAAAUACUUGUGUACUAUUGAUCUUACUCUGUAAAGUAAUCGUUAGUAUUUCUGGGCAAACAGACUUUCUUGUAAUGACAAAUUUGUCCUCGUUUGUUUACUCAAUAUCAUAACGGGGCACUAAAUUACUUCAUUAUCAUUACUGCAAUUUUGUAAAUUGAGGGAUUUGCUUUUAUUAUGUUAAGCAUGCUUGCUUAUUGUGGUGCAGACGGUACUGCCUUUCGUUUUCAGGUAAUUCUUAUAAUUUGUUGGAGAUUGGAAUCACCUACAGUGCCUUUUUUUUUUACUUGAUAGAUUCUUAUAAUCAAUUGCUUUGAUGACCAAUAGUCAAGAGUUUUCAAACCCCACACUUUAUUCUGAAGUUGAACUUCAAUUUUCAACACAAGGAAGUUUUGGCUUACGCAUUGUUAUUUUUUUAGUGCAAGCAAAAAGGGCUUUAGGCAUAUGGACCUCCACAUAGUAACCGCAGGAUAUAAUAGAGUUGAUUUUUCACACACAGCCCAUAAUUCAUGUAAAAUUUAUUAGCUAAUAUUUCCCAAAUGACUAAUCAAUUCAAAGGUUUGCAUGC
Vigna umbellata (rice bean) is the source of this 2514-nucleotide long non-coding RNA. RefSeq lists it as uncharacterized. NCBI's taxonomy places the organism in Eukaryota, Viridiplantae, Streptophyta, Magnoliopsida, Fabales, Fabaceae. The record is from RefSeq and is a predicted model, not a curated record.